This 866-nucleotide ribosomal RNA is filed under the name uncultured Chloroflexota bacterium. RNAcentral describes it as "bacterial SSU rRNA". It matches the Rfam family "Bacterial small subunit ribosomal RNA", at positions 32 to 916 of the family's 1533-position model. The record is from RNAcentral. Lineage: Bacteria; Bacillati; Chloroflexota.
AGAGGUAGCCGGCUGCUUAUACAUGCAGUCGAACGGAGGUAUGUAGCAAUACGUAUCUUAGUGGCGAACGGGUGAGUAACACGUUGGUGACCUACCCCAGAGAGGGGGAUAACAGCUCGAAAGGGCUGCUAAUACCCCAUGUCGUCAUGGUUCCUAGAAAGCCAUGUCGAAAGGUGCAAACCGCUCUGGGAGGGGCCUGCGUCCCAUCAGCUUGUUGGUAGGGUAAUGGCCUACCAAGGCGACGACGGGUAGGGGACCUGAGAGGGUGACCCCCCACACUGGCACUGAAACACGGGCCAGACACCUACGGGUGGCAGCAGUAGGGAAUAUUGCACAAUGGGCGAAAGCCUGAUGCAGCAACGCCGCGUGCGCGAUGAAGGCCUUCGGGUCGUAAAGCGCUUUUCGGGGAGAUGAGGAAGGACAGUAUCCUCGGAAUAAGGAUCGGCUAACUACGUGCCAGCAGCCGCGGUAAAACGUAGGAUCCGAGCGUUAUCCGAAUUCACUGGGCGUAAAGCGCGUGCAGGCGGUUCGGUAAGUUGGAUGUGAAAUCUCCUGGCUCAACUGGGAGAGGACGUUCAAUACUGUCGGACUCGAGGACGGUAGAGGGAGGUGGAAUUCCCGGUGUAGUGGUGAAAUGCGUAGAUAUCGGGAGGAACACCAGUGGCGAAGGCGGCCUCCUGGACCGUUCCUGACGCUCAGACGCGAAAGCUAGGGGAGCAAACGGGAUUAGAAACCCCGGUAGUCCUAGCCGUAAACUAUGUAGACUUGGUGUCGGUGGUGUAAAAACCAGCGGUGCCGGAGCUAACGCGUUAAGUCUACCGCCUGGGGACUACGGCCGCAAGGUUAAAACUCAAAGGAAUUGACGG